Molecule: RNA transcript, 1722 nt
Organism: Ricinus communis (castor bean)
Lineage: Eukaryota; Viridiplantae; Streptophyta; Magnoliopsida; Malpighiales; Euphorbiaceae
Gene name: spindle and kinetochore-associated protein 1 homolog
Exons: 10
Source: RefSeq, a predicted model, not a curated record
UGAGUUGUUUAAGGAUUAAAUGGAAGCCUUACUACUGUUAUUGUCUUCCUCCCAUGUUGCUUUCAGAUGAUUUAGCGUACACUGGUUUGUCCGGUGACUGGAGAGCUACUCAUCUCACCUGAGCUGGAAAACAAAUAACAAAGCCUCGCGCGUGUCAGCUGUGAUCUCACGCAGAGACCAAAACGGCGUCUAGGGGUGCGUUUUAGUUUUCGAAAAAUCAAAAUCCUUCCCGCCAAAACGACUUGCUAGAAUUUGAAAAUGCCAUCUUGAAUUCGCACUCACAAAAACCAUCCAUCCUAAUAUACAAUCCAAUUCUUGGCAGAGAUAACUGAUUUAAGCAAGCAUAUAUGCAUAGAGUGAGAAUAUGGCGAUGAAUGAUGCUGGUUCAUCUCUAGAUUCUCUGAUUUCUUCCUUCAAUACUCGAAUCUCCGAGCUUCAAGAACUCGUUAUCGGCAGAAACAUGUAUCCAGCGAGCAGCAUCACCGAUUUAUCGGCGGUUGACACAUCAUUAAAGACGAUGGAGCUGCAGAUACAGGCUAUUAAGGACCGACUGCGCGAGGAGUUUGAGGCCAUUCCUAAAGCUAAGAAACUGAUUGAGAUGUCACUUCGGCAACAGAAGAAAUUGCAGAGUAUGUCUAGUCAUGUUCUCCCACAUAGAAUGAUCUCACUGAAUUUAGAUGCAAAUAAAAGUGUGCCGCCUGAAGCCCCUAAUCAACAAAAUGAGUUUGGUUCUUUGAAAACUGAAAACGAGCCUGCGCCAUUACCCAAGGAGAAAAAGGGCCGUGCCCCUCCACCAUUGUGGUAUAUAACUGCUGAUGAGCUGAAUUCCCUGCCAACAUAUAUGAGAGGAAGACUCACACUAGAUAAGGUCAAUGCUGCUAUCAAUGACAUGGCGACAUAUGCUGAAUCAAAUGCUCACCUUAUUGGAGCAUCCAAGAAGAAGCUGGCAGAAAAUCUCUGGGAAAAGGCCUUGCAAGUAAGAGAUAUUGCAAUGACAGAAACGGUAAAGGGAAAGCAUUUUUUUCUCGAAUCUGACAUAAAAGGGCCAACAUUGAAGCUUGACAACACUGGAAAAGCUAUGCUGACGGUAAGUCCUUUUUCUACUCUAUUUCUCUCAUUAUUCAUUAGUCAUUAGGUACACAAGCAAGGAAAAAAAACAGGGUUUCCCCACUCAACUUCAGGAAAUUCAAUCACAAGCAGCAUAAUUGGAAAUUUCAAGCCAGCCUUCUUUUCCUUAGAACCACAGAAUUUCCUGAACGUUCUUCGUCACCUCGGUCGCAUCAGUGAGACUCGGAUUGGGCCUCAUCGUAUACUCAUACUUUUGAAGCCCUAGAAAAGGUUGAUUGUCAGGAAAAGAUUUUAGGCGUUACCAAAAGUCUUGCUGGAGCAAGUGGUUUUGUUUAAAACCACAGCCUGCUUAGGAGACAAUGUCCAUGUGAAUCAAUUGGGAUAUCCGGUAUGAGUUUUUUGACUAUCGACGACAAACUUCCAAAUUUGUUUUGGAAUUGCACGUGUAUUCCUCUGCAUCUCAAAUUGUUAAUGCAAUUUUCUUUUUCUAGUCUAAUUAUAUGUAUUCUUAGCCUACUAUCUCAACUUGCAUCAAUGGCAGCCCUCUACUCAAAUUUGGAAGUUAUUUAAUUUUUUAACCUGCACCUCUGAUUACUGUCAUGGAAUGUGAUGCCGAUAAUUUGAUAGAAAAGCCGUUCAUUUUCAAUGAUUUCA